AUUGAACGCUGGCGGCAUGCCUUACACAUGCAAGUCGAACGGUAACGGGCCUUCGGGUGCCGACGAGUGGCGAGCGGGUGCGUAAUACAUCGGAACGUGCCCGAUCGUGGGGGAUAACGAGGCGAAAGCUUUGCUAAUACCGCAUACGAUCUACGGAUGACAGCAGGGGACCGCAAGGCCUUGCGCGGACGGAGCGGCCGAUGGCAGAUUAGGUAGUUGGUGGGAUAAAAGCUUACCAAGCCGACGAUCUGUAGCUGGUCUGAGAGGAUGAUCAGCCACACUGGGACUGAGACACGGCCCAGACUCCUACGGGAGGCAGCAGUGGGGAAUUUUGGACAAUGGGCGCAAGCCUGAUCCAGCCAUGCCGCGUGCAGGAUGAAGGCCUUCGGGUUGUAAACUGCUUUUGUACGGAACGAAAAGCCUUCUUUUAAUACAGGAGGGUCAUGACGGUACCGUAAGAAUAAGCACCGGCUAACUACGUG
This 482-nucleotide ribosomal RNA is filed under the name uncultured bacterium. RNAcentral describes it as "partial 16S ribosomal RNA". It matches the Rfam family "Bacterial small subunit ribosomal RNA", at positions 30 to 507 of the family's 1533-position model. The record is from RNAcentral.